This 1339-nucleotide long non-coding RNA is filed under the name Sinocyclocheilus grahami. RNAcentral's name for it is "lncRNA (ENSSGRG00000003732.1)". The record is from RNAcentral. Lineage: Eukaryota; Metazoa; Chordata; Actinopteri; Cypriniformes; Cyprinidae.
AUUUAGAGUAUGCUGCAAGGAAUCUGCUGAAACUAUAUCAAUGGAAGGAGAUGUAGAUAGCUGUACUAGUGCAGUGAUGUGUUCAAUUAUUAAUGCUGCAUCAACUUGUAUACCAAAAAGCAUAGUGAGUGGAAAAAGAAAAAUGGUUCCAUGGUGGAAUAGUGAAUGUAAAAAUGCAAUAAAAGAAAGAAAUCGUGCAUUUAGAGUCCUAAGGAAGCAUUUGAGUCAAGACAAUUUGAUUGAUUACCAAAGAAAGAAAGCUAAGGCACGGAAAAUAAUUAAGUCAUCAAAGAAGAAUGCAUGGAGACAGUUCUGUUCAGCUAUUGGUAGAGAGAUAGAUCUGAAUGAUGUAUGGUCAAUGAUUAAAAAGAUGACUGGCAAAAGGAAAUCUGUUAAAAUCCCUGUGUUGGUAGAUGGAGAAUACUUGGCAAUAACAAACAAGGAGAAAGCUGACUUAUUAGGUAAGAAGUUUGCAAGUAUUCAUAGUGGAAGUCACCUAGAUGAAGUGCAUAAGCAACGGAAAGAGGAUAUUAUUAGGAAAUGGUAUGAUGUAUUAAGGAAAAAGGACACUGACGAAUCAACACUAGACAUGGAAUUCACAAAGCAUGAGUUGAAAAUGGUCUUAGAGAAAAGUGGUUAUACGGCUCCAGGGCAAGACCAACUGUACUAUGCUAUGUUUAGACAAUUACCAGACGAAUUUAUGGAAAUUAUACGAAUGCUGUUUAAUAAGAUAUGGAGAGAAGGCAAAUUGCCUCAUAACUGGAAAAGUGCUCUGAUAUUGCCUUUUAGUAAGCCUGAUAAAACCCCAGACAAUGCAGGGAAUUACAGGCCUAUAGCGUUAACAUCUCACCUGUGUAAAUGGAUGGAAAAGGUAAUAGUUCGUAGACUGUCAUAUCAUUUAGAACAGAAAGGACUGAUGUGUGCACAACAAAGUGUUUUUUCGUAAAGGUAGAUCUACAAUAGAUGCCCUAGUGAAAGUUAGUAAUGAAGCUGAAAAAGCAAUUAGUAUGAAAGAGGUCAUGAUUAUAGUAUACUUUGAUAUAGAGAAAGCAUAUGACUCAAUGUGGAGAGAAGGACUACUGAUUAAAUUACAUAAUAUGGGUAUUGGUGGAAGGAUGUAUAACUGGAUUUUAGACUUCUUAUCAAAUCGGACAUUUCGUGUUAAAGUUGGAGAUGAUGUUUCAAAUGAUUUUAAUAUAGUAAAUGGUAUUCCGCAAGGUAGUGCUAUUAGCCCAAUUCUGUUUAACAUCUUUGAGAAUGUUGGUACAGGUAUUGGGUAUUCAUUAUAUGCAGAUGAUGGGGCUAUAUGGAAAAGAGGGAAACGUAUUAGACAUAUGAU